UCUGAGCUCCCAGUCCCACCUCCUCUGAGCACCUGCAGGGCCACAAGAAUAAUUUCCAAGUGCUGGAAAGGCACCAAAUUCCUGCCCAGGCAUCCAGGUUUGAACAGAAGGGUGGCAGAAAUGCGGUGUGACAGGCUGCUCCAGAGGAUCCAGCCCACUGAGAAUUGGUGAGGAGUCAGCCAGGAGUUCUCCUGGAAAAACUGGGAAAAUCUUAGGAAAGAAGGCCUAAUCCAGGUGCAGCCCUCAUUUCCUGUUGGAUCUGAGCCUCUGGAGCUGCUGGAGCUGAGCAGUGUCCCAGGAGGGCAGCUUGGCAUGCAAGGAGAGCAAACCUUUCCCCAGAGCUGCCUGGAGGGGAGGAGCAGCCAGGCUGCCAUUCCCAGGGGAGCUGAGGAGAGCAUCCCCCUUUCCCUUCUCACCCCUUCCACUCUGCUCUCUCACCCAUCAUCUCCCUGUCCCUCCCUGCAUCUCUCUUUCCCUCUUUCCCUUUUUUCUCCAUGGAGAUGACCAAAUCAGAGACUCUGCUUCACCCCCCUCCCAGUAAGACCUGAAUCGUUUUUAUGAUUUUAUUUCUAAUUUAUCAGUUUCCCUCUGCCCCAUGGAGCCUCUGGGAUAACCCCAGACUAUGUAGGACUCUAAAAGGACCCUCCACAUCAGCUGGAAAAUGGGAUUCUCCUUGAUUAAAUGCUGGAAGUCCAUCUGCCACUGAAGAAAACACUUCCCUGCCCUGCCAGUGAAUGAGUUCAGCCCCUGGAAUAAAUGAGUGGGAAUCCACAGCUUUGGAGCAUGCUGCAGAUAUUAAAUCCCAUUGUUUCAAGCAGCCCUGGGAAGCUCUUGGAUGCUCCAGCACCAGGCACAGCAUGAGCACAAACUGGGAGCAAACAGCUCCUUCCUGCAAGCAGGCAGG
Serinus canaria (Common canary) is the source of this 904-nucleotide long non-coding RNA. RefSeq lists it as uncharacterized. The record is from RefSeq and is a predicted model, not a curated record. NCBI's taxonomy places the organism in Eukaryota, Metazoa, Chordata, Aves, Passeriformes, Fringillidae. The transcript has 3 exons.